RNAcentral lists this long non-coding RNA (1788 nucleotides) under Sus scrofa (pig). RNAcentral describes it as "lncRNA (ENSSSCG00015029800.1)". Lineage: Eukaryota; Metazoa; Chordata; Mammalia; Artiodactyla; Suidae. The record is from RNAcentral.
ACUGAGUCUGCAGAAGGGCAGAAAGAGUCAAAAGCACGGCAGCUGAAUUUACCAGAGGUUGGACCAGAAGGCUUUGCUACAAAAGGCCCGGGUCGGCGCUCAAAGAGACGGAAUUCGUCCAGCUAAGCCCGAGCCGGGCCCUCGAGGUGGAGAAGGCGGCCCCUCCAGGACAGGCCGGGCCGGGAGAAGCCACUGGCCCUGCCUCCGACCGCAGCACCUUGGGCCUCGCGUCUGCGGCACCUGGGAACACGUGGAACUCCCCAGUUAAGAGGAUCCUGGGGUACGGAUAAGUGGGGUCUGGAGGUCCCAGCAAGAUCGGAGUGCGGCGCGCCUUUCACCCUCUCUCCCGGCCUAGGCACCCUGGGGAGGAGACGGGAGUGGGGGAGGAAUCUCCGUCGCCUCGGAGGAGGUAACGACGGGGCUGUUUAUUUUUUAAAUAAACGUAGGUUUAAAAAUAAGUCCAAGUGUUUCUGCAAUCGAGUUUCCAACCCGAUCUGGGUACAGGAAGACUAAACCUGGGGCCCCACUCUCAAGUGGGCGGAUGUUGGUUGUGUGGAAAGCAGAGUCCCGCUGUGUCCUCUCUCACCUGGGAGUAUCCAUCGCCCCUUUCUCCCCAUCCGGGAACUCACUGGAUUCCCGAAAGCUCCGGAGGCCGCCGGCACGGCCUUCCUGGCCCGGGCAGACCGCUCCCGCCCCUUCCCCGGUUCCGCGCGGCUCCUGAAUUUGCCUAGGCUGGCGUGAUGGCGCUCCGCUGGGGUAGACGGGAAUGGGAAGCGAGCCCAGGUCGGGCUGGGCGCUCCCCGCUUCUUCCUGAGGUUCCAUCCUCCCGCCCCCAGCUCUCCCCCGGCCGGCUGUCCACCCAGCUGCCUGGGGUGCCCUGAGUUACCCCACGCCGCGCCCCUACCCACCGGAUUGCCUUGUGGGGGGGCCCCUCGGUGCUGAGUCGAAGGCGAGGCGCUGCGGGCGGGGCAGACAGGAAUCACCGGGCCGCCAGGUCUGCGCUCUUAGCAGCCGGCUAGCCCUGUGGGUCGAAGAUGCUCGGAGAAGGAGGAAGUGCAGAGAAAAAAGAAGUGUGUGUGUGUGUGUGUGUGUGGGGGGGAACCUAACAUACACACACGCACGCAAAACCAACUUUGGGGUUGGACUUUUUCAGUUUCACACGAAGCGACCUGGAGUAUCUGGAGAAGGUUUUUGAAGACGUUUAGGAGGGAGGGAGGUUCUCUGCUGAGAAACUCAAUCUGCCAUACAGUAGCGGCCCCAUCUGGGAUCUGUCACAGCUGACAGCACCACAGGGCACAGCCGUGAUCUUCUGCACAGCCUGCACUCCCCGAAAUACCCUCCUUAAUCAAAGGAUGUCUGCGCGCCUGGGCUCAGCUGACCGGGAGCAGAGAGCCGGCAAAUUCCACCCCCUCCCCGCCCGCCUCCUCCCCACGGACACAGCCCCGGCCCCUCUCGUCUUCCCAGCACAUUAAUUAAAAGCGGAAAAGAGACUGAAGCUGAUGUCAUUGCUCUCAGAAGAUCAUAAACGUAAAAGAGUCAUCCUGUGAGAAUCCCUGAAAAAGACUUUAAUGAAUAAUUUCAGAGACAGUUAUGGCUUUGGGUGAUUACUGAGAGAGAAUAUGAAAACCAGAUUUGGAAAGCGAAGACGAUGGUCAGGCGGCUCGGCGGCUACUUUCUCCCAGUAAAACCGCACCAGUUUUCUUCCAUGGCCAAGUUCUAGUUACAGACUUAGCUUGCGUUUUCUUCUUUUCAAAUAAAAGCAACAAACACACAGUUUUUGUUUCCUGC